CCUACGGGAGACAGCAGUGGGGAAUAUUGCGCAAUGGGCGAAAGCCUGACGCAGCGACGCCGCGUGAGGGAUGAAGGUCUUCGGAUCGUAAACCUCUGUCAGCAGGGAAGAACGGUCACUGUGCUAAUCAGCAGUGAAUUGACCGUACCUGCACAGGAAGCACCGGCUAACUCCGUGCCAGCCGCCGGGGUAAUACGGAGGGUGCGGACGGUAAUCGGAAUUACUGGGAGUAAAGCGCUCGUAGGAGGUAUGUCAAGUCAAGGGUGAAAUCCCCGGGAGAAACGUGGGAAAUGCCUUUGAAACUGGCAAACUUGAGUGUGUGAGAGGAUAGUGGAAUUCCAGGUGUAGGAGUGAAAUCCGUAGAUAUCUGGAGGAACAUCAGUGGCGAAGGCGACUAUCUGGCACAUAACUGACGCUGAGGAGCGAAAGCGUGGGUAGCAAACAGGAUUAGAUACCCUGGUAGUC
This 465-nucleotide ribosomal RNA is filed under the name uncultured bacterium. RNAcentral describes it as "partial 16S ribosomal RNA". It matches the Rfam family "Bacterial small subunit ribosomal RNA", at positions 338 to 795 of the family's 1533-position model. The record is from RNAcentral.